RNAcentral lists this small RNA (162 nucleotides) under Neomoorella thermoacetica. RNAcentral's name for it is "Moorella thermoacetica c-di-AMP sequence". It matches the Rfam family "c-di-AMP riboswitch aptamer (ydaO/yuaA leader)". From Rfam's summary of the family: This family represents a conserved RNA structure found upstream of the ydaO and yuaA genes in Bacillus subtilis and related genes in other bacteria. The record is from RNAcentral. Lineage: Bacteria; Bacillati; Bacillota; Clostridia; Neomoorellales; Neomoorellaceae.
UCCACCUGAUCGCCGAAUUUCCUCGGUGGAAAGCGGGGGAACCAGGUAAGUGGGGUUAAUCUCCGCGCCAGUUUUUCCUAUACGGGGAAAAAGGGGCGCGGGGUAGGGCCAUCCUUGGUCCGCACCCGGCAGCUAACCUCGCAGGCGUGGAAGGAGGUGGAU